This 269-nucleotide unclassified non-coding RNA is filed under the name plant metagenome. RNAcentral's name for it is "partial contains 5.8S ribosomal RNA, internal transcribed spacer 2, and large subunit ribosomal RNA". The record is from RNAcentral.
UGCCAGUGAUCGGGCGUGGCAAUAUGGACUGCAUCGAUGUCGGUCCGCGCGAGGAUCUCCCGGAAGUCGGUGUACUCUUUGCAAUCGCUGUUCUUGUAAUGGUUAUCCACGCGCUGCUUGGCCGUGUCGCGAAAACCUUUUCGCACGUCGCAGACUGCGACGUACUGAACAUCUCCGCGGCCGAGAAAUACUCCCUGGUCGCCUCGUCCCUGGUUGCCCAGCCCAAUGCCGGCCAUGACGAUUCGGUCACUCGCUGGCGGCCGAGUCUC